Long non-coding RNA from Cydia splendana, 701 nucleotides. RefSeq lists it as uncharacterized. Lineage: Eukaryota; Metazoa; Arthropoda; Insecta; Lepidoptera; Tortricidae. The record is from RefSeq and is a predicted model, not a curated record. The transcript has 4 exons.
UCGACGCUGCACUAGUAUUCGACAUGGGCACUUUAUGUCAAAGUGACAAGGAUUAAAUUUGAAUACAGAAAAAUCUUCGCCGUUCAAAUUUAACCUAUAUUACUUUGACAUAAAGUGCCCAUGUCGAAUACUAGUGCAGCGUCAAGCACUAGUACUUCUACCUUAUUUCUGUUACAAUAAUUUAAAUUUCAGCUGCAAACCAGAUUCAGGUCAGAUCUACACAUGCCAGAGUACCUCUGUCAACAUCAAACAGUGAAAAUGCACAAACUUCAGCUACUGCAUCUACGAGUACAGGCCAAGCUUGUCUGAAAUCUGGAAUAAGCAUUCGACCGGAUAAAGCGUCAAUACCAGCGAAACGCCCCCGCUUUGCUGACAAACAACCUGGCGGGUCUAGGGAUACUCUAGUUCUUGCUUCUGAUAAUCGAAAAACGCAGCGAGCAAAUCAAAAGACUAGAUUACAAUACAACGAAGAAAGAAUUGCUGAAGAAGCUCAUGAAAGUGAAAUCGAGUUUACUUUAUUAAGAGUCUGCCUAAUAGGUAGCUUAGGACUUUAACCAGAUAAAUUGUUUUUUAAAUCCAUCUUUAAAACAUGGUAUCUAAGAGAAUUUUAAAUAGAGAGUUACUGUCAUGGUAAAUUAUGUAAGUAGCUACAGUACUCUACAUUUACUGCCAUCUUUCGACAGAAGAUUAAACCUGUUAGA